CCCCAAAAAAAUCCCAAAAAAAGCCCCAAAAAAGGGCCCAGAAAACCUCAAAAAAGGCCCCAAAAAACCCAAAAAAAGCCCCAAAAACCCUAAAAAUGGCCCCAAAAACCCUCUGGGGCCACCAAAAACCCUCUGGGGCCACCAAAAAACCCAAAAGGGCCACGAGAAGCUCCAAAAGGGCCACCAAAACCCCCCUGGGGACACCAAAGCCACCUCUUGGGGCCACCAAGUGUCCCCAGGUGGCCACUGAGGGUCCCCAGGUGGCCACUGAGGUCCCCAGGUGGCCACUGAGGUCCCCCAGGGGUCACCAAACCCCCCCAGGUGGCCACUGAGGUCCCCAGGUGGCCACUGAGGGUCCCCAGGUGGCCACUGAGAUCCCCAGGUGGCCACUGAGGGUCCCCAGGUGGCCACUGAGGUCCCUCCUGUCGC
Molecule: long non-coding RNA, 429 nt
Organism: Poecile atricapillus (Black-capped chickadee)
Lineage: Eukaryota; Metazoa; Chordata; Aves; Passeriformes; Paridae
Exons: 3
Source: RefSeq, a predicted model, not a curated record